Molecule: ribosomal RNA, 164 nt
Filed under: Clusia schomburgkiana
Lineage: Eukaryota; Viridiplantae; Streptophyta; Magnoliopsida; Malpighiales; Clusiaceae
Description: 5.8S ribosomal RNA
Rfam family: 5.8S ribosomal RNA
About the family: 5.8S ribosomal RNA (5.8S rRNA) is a component of the large subunit of the eukaryotic ribosome. It is transcribed by RNA polymerase I as part of the 45S precursor that also contains 18S and 28S rRNA. Functionally, it is thought that 5.8S rRNA may be involved in ribosome translocation.
Source: RNAcentral
AAAACGACUCUCGGMAACGGAUAUCUCGGYUCUCGCAUCGAUGAAGRAGGUAGCGAAAUGCGAUACUUGGUGUGAAUUGCAGAAUCCCGUGAACCAUCGAGUCUUUGAACGCAAGUUGCGCCCAAAGCCUUUUGGUUGAGGGCACGUCUGCCUGGGUGUCACAC